UACGUAGGUCCCGAGCGUUGUCCGGAUUUAUUGGGCGUAAAGCGAACGCAGGUGGUUUAUUAAGUCUGGUGUAAAAGGCAGUGGCUCAACCAUUGUAUGCAUUGGAAACUGGUAGACUUGAGUGCAGGAGAGGAGAGUGGAAUUCCAUGUGUAGCGGUGAAAUGCGUAGAUAUAUGGAAAAACACCAGUGGCGAAAGCGGCUCUCUGGUCUGUAACUGACGCUGAGGUUCGAAAGCGUGGGUAGCAAACAGG
RNAcentral lists this ribosomal RNA (252 nucleotides) under uncultured bacterium. Its description in RNAcentral is "partial 16S ribosomal RNA". It matches the Rfam family "Bacterial small subunit ribosomal RNA", at positions 524 to 776 of the family's 1533-position model. The record is from RNAcentral.